UAUACUGCGCGUGCGCGGACCCAAUAGACCGCGCGUGCGCAAUGUGGGGUAGGGAAAUUUCACAGGAGAAAUGGCCAUAAAAUUUACCUACCCCUCAACUGCGCACGCGCGGACUCACAUCAUCAGCUCCAAACUUAUCUGGACACAGGUAUCAUAUGCCAUGGCAUGCUUUUUGCUACGAAACCGCAGCCAUCUAGUCACUCGCCAGAGAAGGAUGAGAAACUGCACCCCAGCGAGAGGGACUGCCCCACAUCAGCAACCAAAUCCGUCGGUCACCGAAUUCAGUAAUCUCCGUCUCUUUGUCCAUUCUCUCUGACAAGCAUGUUCUCCUAUGGGACACGAAGUACAUGAAGAGGAAUGAAG
Pelobates fuscus (common spadefoot toad) is the source of this 363-nucleotide long non-coding RNA. RefSeq lists it as uncharacterized. The transcript is spliced from 3 exons. The record is from RefSeq and is a predicted model, not a curated record. Lineage: Eukaryota; Metazoa; Chordata; Amphibia; Anura; Pelobatidae.